GCUCGCUCUGGCUCCACGCCCAGGCCUCACUUCCAGCGGCGGCCCCGGUCCCGGAGCGCGGCGGGUGCGGCCGUGGGUGCCGGUUGGCAGCUUCUCUCGAACCUUCUCUCCCUCAGCGCUCGCCCGCUACUUAGACGGGCGCCUCCCGGGCCUGGGCGGCACCGAAGCAGCCGGAGGGCCCGUGAAGGUGCGGGCGGCGGGGCUGCCCCCCAGCUUUGUGGAUCCCCAGGUCGGGGCGGGGGAGGGCCUCUCUGCGUCUCUACCACACCGCGGCCACCUCGGAGGUCGCCGGUCAGGGGACCGCACUGGGUUAGGCCAACCAGCUCCACGCACACACGCACCUGAGCCAAGGCGGCUGCUCGUGCUGCCGGGAAAGGCCGCCGGUUGCAAGAAGAGGCAAGUCUGCGCUCCCGCCGGGCCGCCCACCAGCUGUUCGAGGCCGGGCAAGGCCCUGGGGCCCGGGCUCCUCAACCCCCACCACGCUCGAGGGGCCCCCGCAACCCUUCCCAAACGGGAUGCCAGACGCUGCCCCGGUCGCGCCGAACCCCAACCUCGGGGCAUCCGCGCUGUACAAGCUCUGCGGGCGACCGUCCUGUGCUCUACGCUCCCUGAGCCUCAGUGUCGCCCUCUGAACAAUGGGUAUAAAAUCGUUUUUUACCUUACAGGACCGUUGAGAAGAAAAAACAGAAAUAGAUAUUAAGAAUCCCUUCGUGAAUGACAAAGUGCCAAAGUACUUUCCCUGGGAGACGGAAAUUUUAACAGAGGUCACCAAGACCUCUUAGUGUCGCAUCGGGACAGAUGGCUUCUGGCACAAGUUACCCUGUUGGAGAAACCUGGAGGAUAGAAAAGCGUUUUAACAUGUCCAUCUCAGGGGCGCCUGGGUGGCUCAGGCGCUUGAGCGUCUGCCUUUGGCUUGGGUCACAAUCCCGGGGCUCUGGGCUUGAAGCCCCCAUCAGGCCCCCUGCUCAGCAGGGGGUCUGCUUCUCCCUCCCCCUCUGCUCCCCCACUCGUGCUCCUCUCUCUGUCAAAUAAAUAAAAUCUUUAAAAUCUAUU
Molecule: long non-coding RNA, 1053 nt
Filed under: Canis lupus familiaris (dog)
Lineage: Eukaryota; Metazoa; Chordata; Mammalia; Carnivora; Canidae
Description: lncRNA (ENSCAFG00805021345.1, ENSCAFG00845026244.1)
Source: RNAcentral